AUUGAACGCUGGCGGCAGGCUUAACACAUGCAAGUCGAGCGGGGUGAUGGUGCUUGCACUAUCACUUAGCGGCGGACGGGUGAGUAAUGCUUAGGAAUCUGCCUAUUAGUGGGGGACAACAUCUCGAAAGGGAUGCUAAUACCGCAUACGUCCUACGGGAGAAAGCAGGGGAUCACUUGUGACCUUGCGCUAAUAGAUGAGCCUAAGUCGGAUUAGCUAGUGGGUGGGGUAAAGGCCUACCAAGGCGACGAUCUGUAGCGGGUCUGAGAGGAUGAUCCGACACACUGGGUCGGAGACACGGCCCAGACUCCUACGGGAGGAAGCAGUGGGGAAUAUUUGACAAUGGGGGGAACCCUGAUCCAGCCAUGCCGGGUGUGUGAAGAAGGCCUUAUGGUUGUAAAGCACUUUAAGCGAGGAGGAGGCUCUUUUGGUUAAUACCCAAGAUGAGUGGACGUUACUCGCAGAAUAAGCACCGGCUAACUCUGUGCCAGCCGCCGCAGUAA
Molecule: ribosomal RNA, 503 nt
Filed under: uncultured bacterium
Lineage: Bacteria
Description: partial 16S ribosomal RNA
Rfam family: Bacterial small subunit ribosomal RNA
Source: RNAcentral